AGAGUUUGAUCAUGGCUCAGAUUGAACGCUGGCGGCAGGCCUAACACAUGCAAGUCGAGCGGAAACGACACUAACAAUCCUUCGGGUGCGUUAAUGGGCGUCGAGCGGCGGACGGGUGAGUAAUGCCUAGGAAAUUGCCUUGAUGUGGGGGAUAACCAUUGGAAACGAUGGCUAAUACCGCAUGAUGCCUACGGGCCAAAGAGGGGGACCUUCGGGCCUCUCGCGUCAAGAUAUGCCUAGGUGGGAUUAGCUAGUUGGUGAGGUAAUGGCUCACCAAGGCGACGAUCCCUAGCUGGUCUGAGAGGAUGAUCAGCCACACUGGAACUGAGACACGGUCCAGACCCCUACGGGAGGCAGCAGUGGGGAAUAUUGCACAAUGGGCGAAAGCCUGAUGCAGCCAUGCCGCGUGUAUGAAGAAGGCCUUCGGGUUGUAAAGUACUUUCAGUUGUGAGGAAGGGUGUGUAGUUAAUAGCUGCGCAUCUUGACGUUAGCAACAGAAGAAGCACCGGCUAACUCCGUGCCAGCAGCCGCGGUAAUACGGAGGGUGCGAGCGUUAAUCGGAAUUACUGGGCGUAAAGCGCAUGCAGGUGGUUCAUUAAGUCAGAUGUGAAAGCCCGGGGCUCAACCUCGGAACUGCAUUUGAAACUGGUGAACUAGAGUACUGUAGAGGGGGGUAGAAU
RNAcentral lists this ribosomal RNA (680 nucleotides) under uncultured bacterium. RNAcentral's name for it is "bacterial SSU rRNA". It matches the Rfam family "Bacterial small subunit ribosomal RNA", at positions 8 to 667 of the family's 1533-position model. The record is from RNAcentral.